UACAGAGGGUGCGAGCGUUAAUCGGAUUUACUGGGCGUAAAGCGUGCGUAGGCGGCUGAUUAAGUCGGAUGUGAAAUCCCUGAGCUUAACUUGGGAAUUGCAUUCGAUACUGGUUAGCUAGAGUAUGGGAGAGGAUGGUAGAAUUCCAGGUGUAGCGGUGAAAUGCGUAGAGAUCUGGAGGAAUACCGAUGGCGAAGGCAGCCAUCUGGCCUAAUACUGACGCUGAGGUACGAAAGCAUGGGGAGCAAACAGG
This 253-nucleotide ribosomal RNA is filed under the name uncultured bacterium. RNAcentral's name for it is "partial 16S ribosomal RNA". It matches the Rfam family "Bacterial small subunit ribosomal RNA", at positions 524 to 776 of the family's 1533-position model. The record is from RNAcentral.